RNAcentral lists this small nucleolar RNA (220 nucleotides) under Triticum aestivum (bread wheat). RNAcentral's name for it is "Plant small nucleolar RNA U3". It matches the Rfam family "Plant small nucleolar RNA U3". Rfam says of the family: Small nucleolar RNAs (snoRNAs) are involved in the processing and modification of rRNA in the nucleolus. There are two main classes of snoRNAs: the box C/D class, and the box H/ACA class. U3 snoRNA is a member of the box C/D class. Lineage: Eukaryota; Viridiplantae; Streptophyta; Magnoliopsida; Poales; Poaceae. The record is from Rfam by way of RNAcentral.
ACGACCUUACUUGAACAGGAUCUGUUCUAUAGGCUCGUACCGCUGCAUCCUUUACCAUAAGGAGGCAAGCACUUAAGUCUGGUUGAUGCAUUCUAACCUCUCGACUAGAGCGUGAUUAACGGCCUAGAUUGCUCCUGAUGGGAGCAUCCAGUGGCUGUAGAGGAUCGUUCCUGACAGGCUCACACCUGUUCAGGGUGACCUAGAGGUUGUCUGACAGGCU